UUCCAAAUAUCACAUGUCUAAGGAGAAAUAAAAGAAUGUAAUAUACUACCACAGCCAAGUCCUUGUGAUACCAAAUCACCAUGGAGAUAUUGCUGUCUAAAUGCAUGUCAUUGAGCUUGUGUGCAACAAAGACAAGUUGCUGGACUUAGAAUGUGGAACCGUUCCAUCCAAAGUUGGAACCCUUGGUGUCAUAAAACUUGAGGAAGAAUCGUGACUUGGGCACUGACAACUUCAUCUCAAGGAUU
RNAcentral lists this unclassified non-coding RNA (245 nucleotides) under Hevea brasiliensis (rubber tree). Lineage: Eukaryota; Viridiplantae; Streptophyta; Magnoliopsida; Malpighiales; Euphorbiaceae. The record is from RNAcentral.